UACGUAGGGGGCAAGCGUUAUCCGGAAUUACUUGGGCGUAAAGGGUGAGUAGGCGGCCAUACAAGUCAUAUGUGAAAGCCCGGGUCUUAAGCCCGGGACUGCAUAAGAAACUGUGAGGCUGGAGUACAGGAGAGGUAAGCGGAAUUCCUAGUGUAGCGGUGAAAUGCGUAGAUAUUAGGAAGAACACCAGUGGCGAAGGCGGCUUACUGGACUGAAACUGACGCUGAGUCACGAAAGCGUGGGGAGCAAACAGG
RNAcentral lists this ribosomal RNA (254 nucleotides) under uncultured bacterium. RNAcentral's name for it is "partial 16S ribosomal RNA". It matches the Rfam family "Bacterial small subunit ribosomal RNA", at positions 524 to 776 of the family's 1533-position model. The record is from RNAcentral.